RNAcentral lists this ribosomal RNA (587 nucleotides) under uncultured beta proteobacterium. RNAcentral's name for it is "bacterial SSU rRNA". It matches the Rfam family "Bacterial small subunit ribosomal RNA", at positions 338 to 916 of the family's 1533-position model. The record is from RNAcentral. Lineage: Bacteria; Pseudomonadati; Pseudomonadota; Betaproteobacteria.
CCUACGGGAGGCAGCAGUGGGGAAUUUUGGACAAUGGGGGAAACCCUGAUCCAGCCAUGCCGCGUGAGUGAAGAAGGCCUUCGGGUUGUAAAGCUCUUUCGGCUGGGAAGAAAUCGCACAGGCUAAUACUCUGUGUGGAUGACGGUACCAGCACAAGAAGCACCGGCUAACUACGUGCCAGCAGCCGCGGUAAUACGUAGGGUGCGAGCGUUAAUCGGAAUUACUGGGCGUAAAGCGUGCGCAGGCGGUUGUGCAAGACAGAUGUGAAAUCCCCGGGCUCAACCUGGGAACUGCAUUUGUGACUGCACGACUAGAGUACGGCAGAGGGGGGUAGAAUUCCACGUGUAGCAGUGAAAUGCGUAGAGAUGUGGAGGAAUACCGAUGGCGAAGGCAGCCCCCUGGGUCGAUACUGACGCUCAUGCACGAAAGCGUGGGGAGCAAACAGGAUUAGAUACCCCGGUAGUCCACGCCCUAAACGAUGUCAACUAGUUGUUGGUAGGGUUAAACCUAUUAGUAACGUAGCUAACGCGUGAAGUUGACCGCCUGGGGAGUACGGUCGCAAGAUUAAAACUCAAAGGAAUUGACGG